GAGUUUGAUCGUGGCUCAGAUUGAACGCUGGCGGCAUGCCUUACACAUGCAAGUCGAACGGCAGCACGGGAGCUUGCUCCUGGUGGCGAGUGGCGAACGGGUGAGUAAUGCAUCGGAACGCAUCCUGGAGUGGGGGAUAACGUAGCGAAAGUUACGCUAAUACCGCAUAUUCUGUGAGCAGGAAAGCGGGGGACCUUCGGGCCUCGCGCUCUUGGAGCGGCCGAUGUCGGAUUAGCUAGUUGGUGAGGUAAAGGCUCACCAAGGCGACGAUCCGUAGCAGGUCUGAGAGGAUGAUCUGCCACACUGGAACUGAGACACGGUCCAGACUCCUACGGGAGGCAGCAGUGGGGAAUUUUGGACAAUGGGGGCAACCCUGAUCCAGCCAUGCCGCGUGAGUGAAGAAGGCCUCGGUU
RNAcentral lists this ribosomal RNA (413 nucleotides) under bacterium enrichment culture clone ALO1_GLFRUDD03GRX72. RNAcentral describes it as "bacterial SSU rRNA". It matches the Rfam family "Bacterial small subunit ribosomal RNA", at positions 9 to 424 of the family's 1533-position model. The record is from RNAcentral.